GACGAACGCUGGCGGCGUGCCUAAUACAUGCAAGUCGAGCGGACUUUCAAGAAGCUUGCUUUUUGAAAGUUAGCGGCGGACGGGUGAGUAAAACGUGGGCAACCUGCCUGCAAGACGGGGAUAACUCCGGGAAACCGGGGCUAAUACCGGAUAAUAUCUUCCUUCGCAUGAAGGAAGGUUGAAAGGCGGCGCAAGCUGCCGCUUGCAGAUGGGCCCGCGGCGCAUUAGCUAGUUGGUGAGGUAACGGCUCACCAAGGCGACGAUGCGUAGCCGACCUGAGAGGGUGAUCGGCCACACUGGGACUGAGACACGGCCCAGACUCCUACGGGAGGCAGCAGUAGGGAAUCUUCCGCAAUGGACGAAAGUCUGACGGAGCAACGCCGCGUGAGCGAAGAAGGUCUUCGGAUCGUAAAGCUCUGUUGUCAGGGAAGAACAAGUACCGUUCGAACAGGGCGGUACCUUGACGGUACCUGACCAGAAAGCCACGGCUAACUACGUG
RNAcentral lists this ribosomal RNA (499 nucleotides) under uncultured bacterium. RNAcentral's name for it is "partial 16S ribosomal RNA". It matches the Rfam family "Bacterial small subunit ribosomal RNA", at positions 28 to 507 of the family's 1533-position model. The record is from RNAcentral.